This 765-nucleotide ribosomal RNA is filed under the name uncultured Candidatus Poseidoniales archaeon. Its description in RNAcentral is "bacterial SSU rRNA". It matches the Rfam family "Archaeal small subunit ribosomal RNA", at positions 1 to 772 of the family's 1478-position model. The record is from RNAcentral. Lineage: Archaea; Methanobacteriati; Thermoplasmatota; Candidatus Poseidoniia; Candidatus Poseidoniales.
UCUGGUUGAUCCUGCCGGAGGCUACCGCUAUUGGAGUUCGAUUAAGCCAUGCGAGUCGCGAGAAAUUAGAUUCUCGGCGUACCGCUCAGUAACACGUGGGUAACCUGCCCUAUGCUGGAUAAUAACCUCGGGAAACUGAGAAUAAUGAUCCAUAGUUCACUACGCCUGGAACGGUGAGUGGAUGAAAGCUCCGGCGGCAUAGGAUGGGCCUGCGGCGUAUCAGGUUGUAGGGGGUGUAACGUACCCUCUAGCCCUCUACGCGUACGGGUGUUGGGAGACAUAGCCCGGAGAUGGAUUCUGAGACACGAAUCCAGACCCUACGGGGUGCAGCAGGCGCGAAAACUUGGCAAUGCGAGAAAUCGUGACCAGGGAACUCCAAGUGCAUCGGGUAAGACCGGUGCUUUUCUUGACUCUAAAUAGGUCUUGGAAUAAGGGGUGGGUAAGGACGGUGCCAGCCGCCGCGGUAAUACCGGCGCCUCAAGUGGUAGUCGCUUUUAUUGGGCCUAAAACGUCCGUAGCCGGUCUGAUACAUUCGUGGGUAAAUCAACCAGCUUAACUGGUUGAAUUCUGCGAGGACGGUCAGACUUGGGACCGGGAGAGGUGUGGGGUACGCUCAGGGUAGGGGUAAAAUCCUGUCAUCCUGAGCGGACCACCUGUUGCGAAGGCGCCACACUAGAACGGAUCCGACGGUCAGGGACGAAGCCUAGGGGCACGAACCGGAUUAGAUACCCGGGUAGUCCUAGGUGUAAACGCUGUGGACUUGAU